UGAGCAAUAACAUGAGUGAGGACCUUAGAUAACACAGAUGACAGGGGUAUACAAUAACCAAUUAACACAGGUGAACGGCGUUAAGAAAACCAGACUCAGAGAACACGGGAAGUUAAGUGGCCAUCUGGUAGCCCACCCCGGAAACAGCAGCUAUAUUCCUGACAGCGCUACGUCACACGAUGACCGACUGUUUGGAGAUCGCAGCUGGUUAUACCCCUUCUCGCCAGCAGAGCCCGCCAGUGAACGCUGCGGCCGGACUGAAACUGUAACCUGAUCCUGCCCGAGGCCCCGCCCCCGCGGCCCCGCCCCCGAG
Megalops cyprinoides (Indo-Pacific tarpon) is the source of this 313-nucleotide long non-coding RNA. RefSeq lists it as uncharacterized. The transcript has 3 exons. The record is from RefSeq and is a predicted model, not a curated record. Lineage: Eukaryota; Metazoa; Chordata; Actinopteri; Elopiformes; Megalopidae.